RNAcentral lists this ribosomal RNA (253 nucleotides) under uncultured bacterium. RNAcentral describes it as "partial 16S ribosomal RNA". It matches the Rfam family "Bacterial small subunit ribosomal RNA", at positions 524 to 776 of the family's 1533-position model. The record is from RNAcentral.
UACGUAGGGAGCAAGCGUUGUCCGGAAUCAUUGGGCGUAAAGCGCGCGUAGGCGGCCUCAUAAGUCCGUUGUGAAAGUCAAAGGCUCAACCUUUGAAAGCCGAUGGAUACUGUGAGGCUAGAGUCCGGAAGAGGCGAGUGGAAUUCCUGGUGUAGCGGUGGAAUGCGCAGAUAUCAGGAGGAACCCCAAUAGCGAAGGCAGCUCGCUGGGACGGUACUGACGCUAAGGCGCGAAAGCGUGGGGAGCGAACAGG